GUGCGUUCUCCAACUGUUACGCACACGACACAAGCAUAGUGCGCGCGUGUAUCCUACAGAGAGAUACACAGAGGGUUUCUAUCUAUUGGAUUAAUGGCGCCCAGGAAACGAAGAGUCGUGGAGGAAGAACCAGCAAAGUCCAAGUUGCCAACGAGGGUGACUCGGAGCGCGGCCAAGCGAGCGGCCAAUCCAAACUCGGCUGACUUCGUGUCUGAGGGGCCCCGGACCGACUUACCGAAGAAGAAGGCCAAGAAGGUCGUGAGCAAAGAAGAGCAAGGGAAGGAAAUUUCGAAAGCGGCGAAGACGAAGACCAUAGUGAUUGAGCACUGGAAGCUGGUUAGGGCUUUCCAUAAUUAUGGCAAGGACCGAGUGAAUCUGGUUUCGAUAGCAGUUAUUACAUGUAAAGCUACUGUGAGUCGAAGUCUUGUUAGGUGUAAGAUGCCAUUUUCUUUGAUGAUCAUGGAGAAUAUUUCUGAAGAGCAAACAAUGCAAUUCAUUCAAGACAAGGGCCAUUAGGGUGAAAGAAGGUUUGGAGAAAGGUGUUUCUGGUGUCACAGUGCUGGUCAAUCCCAAUAAGUUUACCCGGUCGAUUGGAUUUAUGGUUCAUUUGUUGCCGGGGAAAAAGGUGGUGUUUUUUAUUUAGCGAUGAAACUAUUAGAAUGCUUGUAGUCCAAACAGAAUCAGACCUACAAAACCUCAUGUCCUCAUUGCCACUACAAUUACGAAUACCUCAUCUGUCAUUUUCAAGGAUCUUCAAUUCGAAUGCCUUAUCUUGAAUAUGCUCUGCCAACUUCCAUGUGAUAUAUGGUGCCACGAUCAUCGACACAUGCCAUCUUUUGAUUAUCCACAACUUCUGUGCUUGCUAUAUAUGGCCACAUUUUUCGAAGUCAAAAUGAAGUCCCUUAGCUGAUGAAUUAAAUCUAAAUUUUGGUAAACUUUCUUCUUUUAUUAACUUGUCAGUUAUGCCAUUCCUUGUUUGCUUUGUGCGUAUAAAUCAUGUGAACAAUUCCUGUUCUGUGCCACUAAAGCUUAAAUCUUAUUUUCUUGGAAAAAAAGUUUCUUUUUGUCGUAAAUACUAAUUGAUUUUUCCACCGUUCUGAAAUAAUCAUGCAUAAAAUUGCUUCCAAAUAACUCCGAAAAUUACCAAAAUAUUGUAUUGGUUACUGUUUGCAGCUCCAAAACAGCCACCAGGUUUUUCUCCUUGUUUCAUUUCCAAGUCCUACUCUUACAUACCACAAUUAACAAUACAUCCUUUGUUGGAUAGACUUAUUUUUUCUUAUUAGAUACUUCUGAUCUUAAGAGACAGUGAACUUAAGGUUACUAGAAACAAAAAGUCAUCUUAUAGGUCCAAAUUGUCUGUUUCCUCACUCUUUUGAAGUUGGCUUCCGGUUCAUGAUGGGCAUGGUGAG
Molecule: RNA transcript, 1409 nt
Organism: Juglans microcarpa x Juglans regia
Lineage: Eukaryota; Viridiplantae; Streptophyta; Magnoliopsida; Fagales; Juglandaceae
Gene name: selenoprotein H
Exons: 4
Source: RefSeq, a predicted model, not a curated record